This is a long non-coding RNA of Nematostella vectensis (starlet sea anemone), 1288 nucleotides long. RefSeq lists it as uncharacterized. The record is from RefSeq and is a predicted model, not a curated record. Lineage: Eukaryota; Metazoa; Cnidaria; Anthozoa; Actiniaria; Edwardsiidae. The transcript has 5 exons.
UCGCUGCAAAAACAAAGCUUCUAUUCAAUAAGAACAAUACAAAAUAUAAAAUGUUAAGCUGAAUUAGAUGGUUGAUUAGAUAGAUGCUUAUAAUAUAUUUGAUAGUGCUCCACAAACACCUCUGUUACGUCAUGAGCAGUGUUUUAUAGUGCGCGUACCCCGGACUGUUUGUAACUUCUAGCUGGUAGUGGUGGUGCUUCAUCAUUCCCUGGAAGACGCUUCGAUGCACCUGUGACGACAUGAAAACCUGCAAUAUCAUUCUAAGUGCCCAUACCUGACCACACGCAACCAACAACAGGUCGCCCUCUGGAUUCACGGGCGUCUGCAACAAAAAAAGUUAGAUCAAGGCACAAGCUUGAGAGAAGGAAUGUGUACAUUCAAUGUACAUUGAAAAAGGCCGGUAGAGCGAUAAAAACAGUCCACCGCCUGACAGACUACAUCAUCGUCCUUAGCACCAUCAUUCACACAUCUCAUCAACUUUACUGUCGCACCAUGAAUUAUAUGGAAAGUAUUGAUUUAACUAAAUCGUACAAGUGUAUCGUACCUGUAGAAUCUGUUGCUCAAGCUGGGAUGUUCCCUGGGAAAGCUCCACAAGCUGACAGAUAAUGAACUUUGUUGACUCAGUCUUGCCCGCUCCGCUCUCACCACUGCAACGAGAUGUUACACAUGUUACGUAUCAUCUAUGAUAACAUGCUAUUUUCCCCCACCAAAGUGUUAAAUAAUGCAAGAAGAUAUUAUGUGUUCUGUGGACCUGUUGGAUAUCAUACCUUAUGACGCAUCAUUGGUUCUGUGGACCUGUUGGAUAUCAUACCUUAUGACACAGCAUUGGUUCUGUGGACCUGUUGGAUAUUAUACCUUAUGACACAGCAUUGGUUCUGUGGACCUGUGGGAUAUCAUACCUUAUGACACAGUAUUGGUUCUGAGGACCUGUUGGAUAUUAUACCUUAUGACACAGCAUUGGUUCUGUGGGCCCGUUGAGCCUUUGCCGAGCAUCGCCUGGUAUGCAGCGUCCGCCAAUGCAUAGAUGUGAGGCGCAAGACUAGACUUGACCGCCAUCUUGUACUGACUUGACACCUGAAUGACAUAACCAAAGUGAUACACAAGCUUCUUUCUUUUUUUUUCUGUCUCAUAGAGAUGCGGAGGGCGUUGGGGAGGGGGGCUAAAACGUGUUAUCAUAUUGUACUACGGACAUUGUACUGGCAUGGGAUUCAUCCUCUACUUUUUUAUGGUUCUGCUAGAAUUUGUUGUUGGUGAGAUCAUAUAGAAUAACAAUGUAUAUUUAAAGUCA